AGGGAAGCAGGCUCCCUGCUGAGCAGAGAGCCGGAUGCGGGACUCGAUCCCAGGACUCUGAGAUCAUGACCGAAGGCAGCGGCUUAACCCACUGAGCCACCCAGGCGCCCCAAGAAAUUAAGCCACCAUGCCGUGAGGAGCCCAAAUGAGGUGGAGAGGUCUCAAGUCAGCUCCUACCCGGGAGCCACACCAACUACCAGCCAUGGAGUGAACCAUCUUGGAGCUCUUGCCAGUUGUAUUUUUCCAUGACUCCAGCUUCAGCCAUCAACUGAAUGUCGCCAUAUUACCCGACUGAUUCCAAUUAACCUACGUGACCGUGAGAGAGAAAUAAACAUUUUUCG
RNAcentral lists this long non-coding RNA (341 nucleotides) under Mustela putorius furo (domestic ferret). Its description in RNAcentral is "lncRNA (ENSMPUG00000029771.1)". The record is from RNAcentral. Lineage: Eukaryota; Metazoa; Chordata; Mammalia; Carnivora; Mustelidae.